UGGGGAAUAUUGCACAAUGGGGGAAACCCUGAUGCAGCGACGCCGCGUGAGUGAAGAAGUAUUUCGGUAUGUAAAGCUCUAUCAGCAGGGAAGAUAAUGACAGUACCUGACUAAGAAGCCCCGGCUAACUACGUGCCAGCAGCCGCGGUAAUACGUAGGGGGCAAGCGUUAUCCGGAUUUACUGGGUGUAAAGGGAGCGUAGACGGAGUGGCAAGUCUGAAGUGAAAACCCUGGGCUCAACCCUGGGACUGCUUUGGAAACUGUUAAUCUAGAGUGUUGGAGAGGUAAGUGGAAUUCCUGGUGUAGCCGUGAAAUGCGUAGAUAUCAGGAAGAACACCGGAGGCGAAGGCGGCUUACUGGACAAUAACUGACGUUGAGGCUCGAAAGCGUGGGGAUCAAACAGGAUUAGAUACCCUGGUAGUCCACGCUGUAAACGAUGAAUACUAGGUGUUGGGGAGCAAAGCUUCUCGGUGCCGUCGCAAACGCAAUAAGUAUUCCACCUGGGGAGUACGUUCGCAAGAAUG
Molecule: ribosomal RNA, 524 nt
Filed under: uncultured bacterium
Lineage: Bacteria
Description: bacterial SSU rRNA
Rfam family: Bacterial small subunit ribosomal RNA
Source: RNAcentral